RNAcentral lists this unclassified non-coding RNA (263 nucleotides) under plant metagenome. RNAcentral's name for it is "partial contains small subunit ribosomal RNA, internal transcribed spacer 1, and 5.8S ribosomal RNA". The record is from RNAcentral.
UUUCCGUAGGUGAACCUGCGGAAGGAUCAUUAAUGUAUAACCGAGGUGCGAGGGCUGUCGCUGACCCGUGAGUUCGUGCAAGCCCGAGUGUCUUCAUACACAUACAUCUCACCCCUAUGUGCACCACCGCGUGGGUCCCCCUUUGGCUUGUUCGGAGGGGGGCUUACGUUUUCACACAAAAUUUGUAUGCAGUGUAGAAUUUAUUUUUUGUUUUUGCGAUCACGCAAUCAAUACAACUUUCAACAACGGAUCUCUUGGCUCUC